UACGUAGGGUCCGAGCGUUGUCCGGAUUUAUUGGGCGUAAAGAGCGUGUAGGCGGUCCGGUAAGUCCGCUGUGAAAGUCGGGGGCUCAACCCUCGAAAUCGCCGGUGGACUACUGUCGGGCUAGGAGUGCGGAAGAGGCGAAGUGGAAUUCCGUGGUGUCAGCGGUGAAAUGACGCAGAUAUCAGGAGGAACACCAAUGGCGAAAGCAGCUCUCUGGGACGGUACUGACGCUGAGACGCGAAAGCGUGGGAGCGAACAGG
RNAcentral lists this ribosomal RNA (260 nucleotides) under uncultured bacterium. RNAcentral's name for it is "partial 16S ribosomal RNA". It matches the Rfam family "Bacterial small subunit ribosomal RNA", at positions 524 to 776 of the family's 1533-position model. The record is from RNAcentral.